Molecule: long non-coding RNA, 2315 nt
Filed under: Triticum aestivum (bread wheat)
Lineage: Eukaryota; Viridiplantae; Streptophyta; Magnoliopsida; Poales; Poaceae
Description: long non-coding RNA (TAES_LNC017569)
Source: RNAcentral
CAAAACGAGCCGCCGCUAGGUCUCCAUCCCUUCUCCCCAGAUCCAGUUCUCUCCGAAAGCCGCCAGCCCGAUUUGAUGCCGAUCUGCAGCAAGUAGAUGGCCGCGGAGCUGGUGCAGACUGUGUCUAUGCUCUCAGCGCCCCUCAUCAGCAGCCGCUUUCCCUCGUCUUCCACGUCAUGUACCUCCGCCGCAAGCGUGCCGCCACCCCUCCCCGCCGUGAGUUAGUGACAGGAGAGAAAGACCCAAAUCGCGACGACAAGCACUUGGUGAGGUCCGCGUGCACCGGAUCCGUCGUCCCCCACCGCGGGAUGAGCCAGGGAAUCCCGACCGCCGUUUCUUCCCCCCUUCGCCAACCGAGGAUCUGCAUCCAUGAUUCCUUACAUGCCCGGUUCCACCACCAUGCCUCUACCAUUGACAAGGUUCUCUAACUCCCCUUAUCUUACUAGUUAGCACCGAUAUUAGCAUUAUAGUUUUCUCUAGAUGCUAUUAUUUUGACUAUCAGUUGAUUUGUCACUGCUAGUUGCAUCAUCAAAGAACGGGCUCUUGUUCAUCUAAGUCAAGACCAAGACAUGGUCAGAAAAAUCUUGGUAGCAAAACAAUCAUAGAGGUUAGAAAACCCAAGAGGAAAGAGAUUAUAAUAUUUUGGUUGGUUCAUGCCCACAAGUUGAGAAGAGAUAGAGGUCGCCACAGUAGAAAAAGAACAAAAAGAUAACAGAAUGGCCUUACAUUCAACCAAACAUCCCAUCCCCUGAUCCACUCCUAGAACAGAGCGCGGGUGCUAAAAGCAUUCAGUUCAUCAGAUAAGAUAAAAAAAAGAGGCAUCCGAACCACAAAAUAGAACCAUCCACUAAUAAUAUUCUGUUCAUAUAUGAUGCUAAUAAGGCUCUGAACAGAUCAACAAAAACAUCGGAUCUUUAUUUAACUUUACAUUUGAUGUCUGAAUCUUACUAUUUUGUUCCGGCAGAAUUUGCCUCUUCUCCACGCAUCAGAAUGUGUCGUUUUGUAUUAGUAGAACUCCAAAAAGGUGCAAAACUAGGAACAAAAGGUUAUUUUGGCAGUUUAUCUUACUAGACCUAUGGUGAUAAUAUCAGGUUUUACUUAAUGUUUUCCUUGCCAUUGGCACGUCGUGCGUUACGGCUUGCUACUGAAUGUGCACGUGUUGCAUUUGUUGAUUUAUCUGUUUACUAACUAGAUGUAGUCAUAGGUGUCAAAUAGUAUCUCAUAUUUUUUUCUCACUGGCUGAAUGUAGAAGAAAACAUGGAUUGCCAUCCGAAGUCCCAGCUGCAAUCGAGCCAAGCGCGCAACAACCUGUUGAAGAGAAGAAGGUACAUUUUUAAAUCUGGAUGUCCUUGCCAUUGUAACCUGUUGAUCCAAAUUCCGUGCACCUUUAAACAUGACAGUAUAUUGUUUUGAGAACCUAAGUUGCCUUCCUAGAAUCUAACUUGUGAGAUGGAAGUGGCCAAGAUUUUUUUGUACUUUGAACCUCUCACUUCUCAAAACAAAUAGAGGACUCCUCUUCCAUGUGAAUCCAACAUUGAUUUCGGUUGGGCAGCAUGUGCGGCCUCCUUUUGCUCUUUUCUCUUUAUAUUAUGAUGCUUUGUGCAAAACUGUGGGAGCUAGUGAAGAUUGGCGAGCCACCCAGAAGCGUAUAUAUUGAAUAGCAAUAAAAGACAGCUUUGCAAUUUAUAGAUGUUGAUAAAUAAGCAAUAAUGGAUGGUAACAAAGCCAUCGUUACAUGAUGUUGUAUACUAGUACAAAGCAUGGACAGGGCCAAAACUGCCGAAUUGCCGUGAUAAUAUGGCGGCGAUAUGGCCGGACAUGCCAGGAUACGCUUGUCCCCCAGUAUCCCCUGAUUUCUGGAAUAAAAGAAAAAAAACAAUGACAUGGCUGGGAUAUGUAGCAUAGAAUACGUUGGGGACACGGGAAGCCCAAUAAAAGCUCGAUGCAAACCCUAUUUUGCUGGGUCCCGCACACGCUCGCCACGAACUCCCAGGAGAACACAAUGCCGCCUGGAUUCGACCGUCACCGCCGCCCCCUGGACUCAACCGCUGCCACCGAUGGCAACCAUGCUCGAGCAGAUAACCCCAACAGCCUCUCCUCAAUCUCGUCAUCUCUUUGCUUGAUUUCUUGCUGUUCGGUUGCUGCUGCUUGCUUCCCCAUGUGGCCAUGCCUUUGCUGCUAGCUCUUGAGCUGUUUCUCACUUACAUGUUGGUACCUGCUGGCUGCUGCUACUAUUUUGACUGUUGCUUAGUGUUAGGGAGGAUGGCGUUUGGGAGCGCCACCGAUGGUAGCCAAUCGUUGAGCACUUGAAAAAG